UACGUAGGGGGCAAGCGUUGUCCGGAAUCAUUGGGCGUAAAGCGCGCGUAGGUGGCUUCGUAAGUCCGUUGUGAAAGUCAAAGGCUCAACCUUUGAAAGCCGAUGGAUACUGUGGAGCUAGAGUACGGAAGAGGCGAGUGGAAUUCCUGGUGUAGCGGUGGAAUGCGCAGAUAUCAGGAGGAACACCAAUAGCGAAGGCAGCUCGCUGGGACGUUACUGACACUGAGGCGCGAAAGCGUGGGGAGCGAACAGG
Molecule: ribosomal RNA, 253 nt
Filed under: uncultured bacterium
Lineage: Bacteria
Description: partial 16S ribosomal RNA
Rfam family: Bacterial small subunit ribosomal RNA
Source: RNAcentral